This 492-nucleotide ribosomal RNA is filed under the name uncultured bacterium. RNAcentral describes it as "partial 16S ribosomal RNA". It matches the Rfam family "Bacterial small subunit ribosomal RNA", at positions 29 to 507 of the family's 1533-position model. The record is from RNAcentral.
AGUGAACGCUGGCGGUAGGCCUAACACAUGCAAGUCGAACGGCAGCACAGUAAGAGCUUGCUCUUACGGGUGGCGAGUGGCGGACGGGUGAGGAAUACAUCGGAAUCUACUUUUUCGUGGGGGAUAACGUAGGGAAACUUACGCUAAUACCGCAUACGACCUACGGGUGAAAUCAGGGGAUCUUCGCACCUUUCGCGAUUGUAUUAGCCGAUGUCGGAUUAGCUAGUUGGCGGGGUAAAGGCCCACCAAGGCGACGAUCCGUAGCUGGUCUGAGAGGAUGAUCAGCCACACUGGAACUGAGACACGGUCCAGACUCCUACGGGAGGCAGCAGUGGGGAAUAUUGGACAAUGGGCGCAAGCCUGAUCCAGCCAUACCGCGUGGGUGAAGAAGGCCUUCGGGUUGUAAAGCCCUUUUGUUGGGAAAGAAAAGCAGCAGGUUAAUACCCCGCUGUUCUGACGGUACCCAAAGAAUAAGCACCGGCUAACUUCGUG